RNAcentral lists this ribosomal RNA (388 nucleotides) under uncultured bacterium. RNAcentral describes it as "partial 16S ribosomal RNA". It matches the Rfam family "Bacterial small subunit ribosomal RNA", at positions 523 to 918 of the family's 1533-position model. The record is from RNAcentral.
AUACGUAGGUGGCAAGCGUUAUCCGGAAUUAUUGGGCGUAAAGAGUGAGCAGGCGGUUAAUUAAGUCUGAGGUUAAAGCGUGGGGCUCAACCCCAUAAAGCCUUGGAAACUGCUUGACUAGAGUACGGGAGAAGUGAAGGGAACUCCCUGGGGAGCGGUGAAAUGCGUAGAUAUAUGGAAGAACACCAGUGGCGAAGGCGCUUCACUAGCCCGAAACUGACGCUCAGUCACGAAAGCGUGGGUAGCAAAUAGGAUUAGAUACCCUAGUAGUCCACGCUGUAAACGAUGACAACUAAAUAUUGCCGCGAGGCAGUGUUGAAGCUAACGCAUUAAGUUGUCCGCCUGGGGAGUACGGUCGCAAGACUGAAACUUAAAGGAAUUGACGGGG